RNAcentral lists this long non-coding RNA (1006 nucleotides) under Macaca mulatta (Rhesus monkey). Its description in RNAcentral is "lncRNA (ENSMMUG00000063546.1)". Lineage: Eukaryota; Metazoa; Chordata; Mammalia; Primates; Cercopithecidae. The record is from RNAcentral.
GAGAGAAUAUAAAGGGCAGGCAAUAUAUGGAGGCUAUUCCCUGAGGAAGUGCUGGAGAGCAUGCCAUGGCUUGAGAGAACGAAUUUCUGAGAUAGAGAUCUUUUAAAGCCAUCAGAACUAUUGCUGCCUAAGACAUGCAUGGCAAAUAAAAGUGUCUCACUGGAUUUCAAAUAAGGGGAAUAAUCAAUGUUAAGUGCUGCCUUGUUAGAUUUCUUCCUGAUUUUUUUGAAGCUCCGCUUCUUCUGUUUCAGAGCUAUGUUUCCCCAGUGGGCUACCACAUCUCUGGGUUUCCAGUACUUGGAAUUUUGCUUCCCAGUUGCAGAGCUAAGAAGCCAAUUCACAUUCCAUCGUUGUCCUAAAGUCUUUUUCCUAUUUUGAAUAUCCCAUCUUGUCUGGAUUUAUCAAGGGGGCUUGAAAAAUUUGUGCAGUGUUCCAAAAGCAGAGUAAAGGAGGAAAGGCCAGGAAGUAUGGGAGAGAGCCAGGCAAGUGGUGAGAGCCAAGAGUUCAGGUAAAUGAGAAGGCUUUACAUAAUGGGAGUUGCCCUGACAGAGAAAGUUUGGAUCUGCCUGGUCUGUACAAUAAGAUUUUCUUUUUGGUGCCUGUUUGGUAUAAUGGGACAGGAGGCACUGAUGUGUGUUGGCUCCGUGUCCCCACCAAAAUCUCACUUUGAAGUGUAAUGAUGCCCCUGUGUCAUGGGAGGGACCUUGUGGGAGGUAAUUGAAUCAUGGAGGUGUGCUUUUCCCAUGCUGUUCUUGUGAUAGUGAACAAGUCUCAUGAGCUCUGAUGGUUUUAUAAAGGGGAGUUCCCUGGCACACACUAUCUCUUGCCUGCUGCCAUGUAAGAUGUGUCUUUUGCCUUCCACCAUGAUUGUGAAGCCUCCCCAGCCAUGUAGAACUGUGAGUCCAUUAAAUCUCUUUUUCUUUAUAAAUUGCCCAGUCUCGGGUAUGUCUUUAUUAGCAGUAUGAGAACAGACUAAUACAGUAAAUUGGUACCAGGAGUGGGGUGC